Molecule: transfer RNA, 71 nt
Filed under: Mesocricetus auratus (golden hamster)
Lineage: Eukaryota; Metazoa; Chordata; Mammalia; Rodentia; Cricetidae
Rfam family: tRNA
About the family: Transfer RNA (tRNA) molecules are approximately 80 nucleotides in length. Their secondary structure includes four short double-helical elements and three loops (D, anti-codon, and T loops).
Source: Rfam by way of RNAcentral
AGAGCUGUACCUCAGUUGUAGAGGACUUGUCUAACACACAGGAGCCCUAGGUCCCAACCCUAGUACCACCA